RNAcentral lists this ribosomal RNA (338 nucleotides) under uncultured bacterium. RNAcentral's name for it is "bacterial SSU rRNA". It matches the Rfam family "Bacterial small subunit ribosomal RNA", at positions 8 to 334 of the family's 1533-position model. The record is from RNAcentral.
AGGGUUCGAUCAUGGCUCAGGAUGAACGCUAGCUACAGGCUUAACACAUGCAAGUCGAGGGGCAGCAUUUUAGUUUGCUUGCAAACUAAAGAUGGCGACCGGCGCACGGGUGAGUAACGCGUAUCCAACCUGGCCCAUACCACGGGACAGCCCGUCGAAAGGCGGAUUAAUACCGUAUGCAGUCAUUAGGGAGCAUUUUUUGAUGACGAAAGGAUUUGGCGGUAUGGGAUGGGGAUGCGUCUGAUUAGCUUGUUGGCGGGGUAACGGCCCACCAAGGCGACGAUCAGUAGGGGUUCUGAGAGGAAGGUCCCCCACAUUGGAACUGAGACACGGUCCAA